UACGUAGGGUGCAAGCGUUGUCCGGAAUUAUUGGGCGUAAAGAGCUCGUAGGCGGUCUGUCGCGUCGGCUGUGAAAACCCGGGGCUCAACCCCGGGCCUGCAGUCGAUACGGGCAGACUAGAGUGCGGUAGGGGAGACUGGAAUUCCUGGUGUAGCGGUGAAAUGCGCAGAUAUCAGGAGGAACACCGGUGGCGAAGGCGGGUCUCUGGGCCGUAACUGACGCUGAGGAGCGGAAGCGUGGGGAGCGAACAGG
This 253-nucleotide ribosomal RNA is filed under the name uncultured bacterium. RNAcentral describes it as "partial 16S ribosomal RNA". It matches the Rfam family "Bacterial small subunit ribosomal RNA", at positions 524 to 776 of the family's 1533-position model. The record is from RNAcentral.